This is a long non-coding RNA of Quercus robur (English oak), 617 nucleotides long. RefSeq lists it as uncharacterized. The record is from RefSeq and is a predicted model, not a curated record. Lineage: Eukaryota; Viridiplantae; Streptophyta; Magnoliopsida; Fagales; Fagaceae. The transcript is spliced from 3 exons.
UUUGUGGACACGUGUGUCCCCCACCUAACCCCACUACCCAUCAUUCUCAUCCACUCAAUUUCACCCACAUCCCUUCUCUCUUUGGCCGGCUCUCUCUCCUUUCUUUCUUUCUUUCAUUUUCUCUAUUUUCUUUUCAUUUUGCUGAAACACACACACACUCACCCGCCUGCCUCCACUCCAAAAUACACUAUCUCACCAUCAUUUUUCCGGCAAGAUCACCGGAAAAAUACUUAGGAACUCCAAAGCAUCUUCAUUAUUUUAUUUGAGAUUCUAGCUAAUUUCCCUUGGAGCUUGGAGAAUUAGGAUUAUGCGGUUGCGAGAGUAGGCAACAAUCUUUUGAGACAUCUUUUUGGUGGCUAAUAGUAGUUAGACUAACUACUGAUGGAGGCUGAAUUUUUGUGUAAUGGAUAUAUUAGAUGGUGUACAUCUUAGACUAGGCUUGACUCAUUCUUUUGUAUAUUAUAGUGGUUGUGACUGUAUUUCCACUGAUGGGACAAGCUGUUGUUAUGUAAUUGUUGUUUUCAGACCUCUAUUCUUUUGUGACCUAUGGUCCUUGUAAUUAAUACUUAGAGCUCUGACUUACUCUGAAAGUAUAUUCUAUGGGAUGAUUAUGAAAA